RNAcentral lists this long non-coding RNA (507 nucleotides) under Mytilus galloprovincialis (Mediterranean mussel). Lineage: Eukaryota; Metazoa; Mollusca; Bivalvia; Mytilida; Mytilidae. The record is from RNAcentral.
AUAACAACCACUUUACAUUUUGACAUAAAAUAAUCAUUGCACCAUUUGAUGACUUAAACACCUGGUAUUAGAACAAAUACCACAAAAAAAAGAUGCAGAUGAUAUAACCCUUCACUUGACAAUAUUGAAACAGAUGAAUAUGAUUAUUUUCAACAAUGGUAAAUGGGAAACAGCAGUCAUUUAUUUAGUUUAAAACAGUUAACAGUGUAUUAUCAAACGUUGCCUUUUUACUUUUAAACGCAAUAAAUUGAAAUAAAAAAUCCUGUUUCAAUGAAUACUGUGAAAAUCGUUACAUUUAUAAAUCAUAUAAACAGACAGAAACCAGUUUAAUAAAUGCUCCAUCUUUCUGUGGUUAAUUUAUUUUUAGGAAUGUUCGAUUGAUACUUUGUAUUUUAUGAUGCUGUCUAACCUAGAAAACUUUCUACAGGACUAUCAAAAACUUAUGCUACAGAUAAUGAUUGCUUAUUUCAACAAAAUAAAAUAAGACAAUGAAUGGCAUCAGUCAUU